RNAcentral lists this ribosomal RNA (462 nucleotides) under uncultured Sphingobacteriales bacterium. RNAcentral describes it as "bacterial SSU rRNA". It matches the Rfam family "Bacterial small subunit ribosomal RNA", at positions 920 to 1382 of the family's 1533-position model. The record is from RNAcentral. Lineage: Bacteria; Pseudomonadati; Bacteroidota; Sphingobacteriia; Sphingobacteriales.
CCCGCACAAGCGGAGGAACAUUGUGGUUUAAUUCGAUGAUACGCGAGGAACCUUACCUGGGCUUAAAUGUAGAGUGCAUUUUUUAGAGAUAGAAAUUCCCUUCGGGGCUUUCUGCAAGGUGCUGCAUGGUUGUCGUCAGCUCGUGCCGUGAGGUGUCGGGUUAAGUCCCAUAACGAGCGCAACCCUUAUCGUUAGUUGCCAGCUGGUAAAGCAGGGGACUCUAGCGAAACUGCCACCGUAAGGUGAGAGGAAGUGGGGAUGACGUCAAAUCAGCACGGCCCUUAUGUCCAGGGCUACACACGUGUUACAAUGGCCGGCACAGAGGGCAGCUACCUGGUGACAGGAUGCUAAUCUCGAAAACCGGUCUCAGUUCGGAUCGAAGUCUGCAACUCGACUUCGUGAAGCUGGAUUCGCUAGUAAUCGCGCGUCAGCCAUGGCGCGGUGAAUACGUUCCCGGGCCUU